This 480-nucleotide ribosomal RNA is filed under the name uncultured eukaryote. Its description in RNAcentral is "SSU rRNA". It matches the Rfam family "Eukaryotic small subunit ribosomal RNA", at positions 647 to 1132 of the family's 1831-position model. The record is from RNAcentral.
CUUACCGGCGCGGUGGCCUGGUCUUCAUUGAUCAAGCUCGCUGUCGCUGGAGACUCCACGUCCGCUGGCUCCUAGUCCUCGUGGCUAGGGUUUUGUGGACAAUUACCAUGAGCAAAUCAGAGUGUUUAAAGCAGGCUUUUAAGCUUGAAUGUGUUAGCAUGGAAUAAUGAAAUAUGACUUUAGUCCUAUUUUCGUUGGUUUAGGUACUAUAGUAAUGAUUAAUAGAAACGGUUGGGGGCAUUUGUAUUUGGCCGCUAGAGGUGAAAUUCUUGGAUUGGCCGAAGACAAACUACUGCGAAAGCAUUUGACCCAGGACGUUUUCAUUGAUCAAGGUCUAAAGUUAAGGGAUCGAAGACGAUUAGAUACCGUCGUAGUCUUAACCACAAACUAUGCCGACCAGAGAUUGGGCGUGUUUCUUUUGACUCGCUCAGCAUCUUAGCGAAAGUAAAGUUUUUGGGUUCUGGGGGGAGUAUGGGACGC